RNAcentral lists this ribosomal RNA (253 nucleotides) under uncultured bacterium. Its description in RNAcentral is "partial 16S ribosomal RNA". It matches the Rfam family "Bacterial small subunit ribosomal RNA", at positions 524 to 776 of the family's 1533-position model. The record is from RNAcentral.
UACGGAGGUGGCAAGCGUUGUCCGGAGUUACUGGGCGUAAAGGGAGCGUAGGUGGAUAUUUAAGUGGGAUGUGAAAUACUCGGGCUCAACCUGAGUGCUGCAUUCCAAACUGGAUAUCUAGAGUGCAGGAGAGGAAAGUAGAAUUCCUAGUGUAGCGGUGAAAUGCGUAGAGAUUAGGAGGAAUACCAGUGGCGAAGGCGGCUUUCUGGACUAUAACUGACACUGAGGCGCGAAAGCGUGGGGAGCAAACAGG